CGUGCGUCGCAUAGCACGUAUUAAAUGCGCGUUUAGGGGUGAUAGGCUUUUCAAACGUUCGUAUAACUUGUUUCAUAUGAAAAGUAUUUAGUACCUAAACAAAUUUGAAAAGUUAAGCUUUUAAAUUAUUAUUAAAGAUAUUAUUCCCUUGUAGUGUAGUUUAAUAGCUAUCUACAUAGUAACUUAACAUUAAUUAUGUUAGUUUAUAUAUUAUAGUAUGACGCUAGCAAUUUUGUUAAUAAAUUGAAAAUGUUAGUAUUAGUAAUAUUAGUAUAUGUGCUAAAGGAACUCGGCAAAAAACCGCUCAACUGUUUAUCAAAAACAUAGCUAUAUGAAUUAGUAUAUAGUUGUUUCUGCUCAAUGACUUAAAUAGCCGCAGUACUCUGACUGUGCAAAGGUAGCAUAAUCAGUUGGCUUUUAAUUAGAGUCUGGUAUGAACGAAAAUAUGGGUAGUAACUGUCUUAGCACAUUUCUUUGAACUUAUUAAACAAGUGCAAAUGCUUGUAAUUAAACAAUAGACGAGAAGACCCUAGAAACUUGGACAUGUUUUUGUUGGGGCGACAGAAUUACAUUUAACUAAUCUUCUAAUACAUGACGCGAUGCUGAAAGAAUAAGUUACUCUAGGGAUAACAGCAUAAUUUCAUUAGUUUGUGACCUCGAUGUUGGACUAGGUACUAUACCCUUAAGGCAAGGAUAUAUUGUGCUCUGUUCGAGCAAAAUUACCUACAUGAUCUGAGUUCAGACCGG
RNAcentral lists this ribosomal RNA (747 nucleotides) under Helix pomatia (Roman snail). Its description in RNAcentral is "partial 16S ribosomal RNA". The record is from RNAcentral. Lineage: Eukaryota; Metazoa; Mollusca; Gastropoda; Stylommatophora; Helicidae.